GCACAUAUGUGUAUUAUAAAACAUUUUCUACAAAUUCUUUACAUAAACCCUCUUUUGUUUCAAGUAAGGUUUUGUUCUUUUUUCGGUCAAAUAAGCUUUUGUUCUUUAUCCUUAAACAGCCUAACAAUGUCGUCUCUGCAUUACGUUCUGGUGAAUGCUAUAGGAGCAUCUGCAAGGUUCAAAAAAUACCCAGUUGAUUAAAAUAAAUCUAUUUUUAGAUAUUUCACUGAACCAUUGUUUUUUUAUUCUUUUAUAAUAGCACGCAUGUCUCAAACGAGCUAGGAGCUGGAAAUCCAAAGGCAGCUCGAGCCGCGGCUACAUCUGCGGUUUUCCUCGGUGUUAUCGAUGCAACCAUAGUAAGUAUCACCCUCUACACCUACCGAGGAAAUUGGGCUUAUAUAUUCAGCAACGAAAGUGAAGUGGCUCAUUAUGCAACUCAAAUCACACCCAUUUUAUGCCUAUCCAUUGGUGUGGACAGCUUUCUAGCCGUGCUCUCAGGUAGUCAAUUUAUAUCAAAUCAAAAGAAUGUAUACAGUAUAAGGUACACACCGCAAGCAUUGCUGAAUGAGAAGCUCCUAAAGAGAUUACUAAUAUUGCUACUUGACGCCCAAAUCUUAUGUAUUUUUUUUUAAAAAAACCUAGAAUAUUGAUGCUUCAGGGGUUGCUAGAGGAACAGGAUGGCAACAUAUAGGAGCUUAUGCAAAUAUAGGUUCGUAUUAUCUGGCCGGGAUCCCGUUGGGUUCGUUCUUGUGUUUCGUUGUGAAAUUGAGAGGGAAGGGACUCUGGAUUGGUAUUUUAAUAGGCUCUACUCUACAAACAAUAGUCCUUGCGGUUGUCACUUUCUUCACAAGUUGGGAACAAGAGGUAUACGUUUGCUUUUAUUUUAUUCUUAUUAAUUAUUCAUAUGAUCUCUCUUCUUGUUAUUGCUAGAAUUUAGAAUCUUGUUUUGAUUUGGGUUUUAGGCAGCGAAGGCAAGAGACAGAGUAAUCGAGGUGAAACCACAAGACAACCAAGAAUUGCAAAGCAUUUUACAAGAGGAUGUACAAGUUUUGCUAAAGGAUGUUUCAGAAAAUGUGUAAAAUCACUCAACAUAAUGAUAACUACGUGGUCGUAAAUAUAAUUAAUAUAUUGUUCGCAUAUCUUCUAUUGAUAGGAAAUAAGAAUUUGUUUAUUAUCACAAAAGUUGUUGACAAAAAAAAGGGUUUAUUAAUCAAUCUAUACAAAAAAAGGUUUAUUAAUAGGAUCCUAUCUAAUUUUAACCCAUGUUAUACGUUUUUAUUUACUACCUAUGCCACUGAUUUUGGAAAGAUUUCAACAGCUUCAUUAAGGUCAUUCCCGUAAUUUAAAACUUAACGAUUUCUCCCUCUUCUAUUGGCUCUUACUUAAUGAUGUUCUGUAAUAAUAAAGAUGUAGGUCCAAACGUUGUCGAACAAUAUGUCUUGGAAUGUUACUAAUCGUCUCGUUCUGAACCGCAGUUAACAAUAACAAAAAUCUUUACAUAUACCAUAUAUCCAUAUGUUUUUAUGACUGUUAAAACCACACCGCAGUUAAACCGCUUGUCCCGCAUCGCUCAAAUCACAGUUAUCAUUUGGAGCCUAUAUAUCGAAUGUCUUUGAGAAAUAGGUCCAAAGACAAAACGAUGUAGCCUUGCUAAUCAAUAACGUGGAAAACAAUUAUGUAUUUAUUGCACUAUAUCAUUUUACUUGGAAUUCAAGGAUACAUAUUUACUAUGAAAACUAUUUCACCUUUACAUCGUAGAUUUUAUAAAGAUAUUUUAUUCCAACUGAAUUGUAAAUAUUAUAUUUAUAUCUAAAUCUAAGCUAACAAUAAAUCUCUAAAUCUUUUUUGCUUGAUCACUACUCUAGGGAUUUCCUAAACUGAAUCCAAAUAUGCUAGAGAAUUUUUUAAGCGACGCUUAAAAAAACAUCGCCUAACCUAAUAUUAUAUACUAUGAUCGGCCCGCCCUACGGGCGGGAUAUAUUUUACUUAUGAUCUAGAUUAUUAUUAUUUUUGUAUGAUUUGUGGUUUGUCUUAUAGGUUUGCAUUUGCAAACAUGUGUAUAAUAAUGAUUUUUGUCUUUUUGAAAAUUUUAGCUGAGAAGGGAUUAUACGUGAUAAAAUAUAUUUUGCUUGCUUACAAUAGUUAUUUCUGUCGUCCAAAAACAUUAAUUUUACAAUAGUAUAUAUUAGUUAAAUUUUAUCUGCUUUUAUGUUCAACAAAUUUUAUCUACUUAAUUAAAUUAUUUGUAAUGCCUGUUGAAUUUGAUGAUAGUGUAUAAAUGUCUUUUAUCUGUAAUUCAAUGAAAAUAUCAGAAAACUGAAAUUAAAAAAAAAUGAAAGAUGAAUUCAUUUUUUAAAAGAUGACUUUUUUUAUGUUUAUAUGAAAGUUAUAUAUAUAAUAGUUAUUUUAUUAUUAUUUUAUCGAAUUAAGUUAUAUUUUACAUAUGUCCAGUUCAAGACCAGUAAAAUUUAUGAUUAGGUAUUUAUUCAUCUACGAGUAAUAAUUUAUAGAUUUUCUCCUAUAUGUAUUAUUAUGUUAUUACUAUUUUGUGUUGAUAUAAUGAAUCUCCAUGUUAUCGGUUAAAUAGUUAUAUUGCCUGGCAUUGUAGACUAAAGGAAGAACUUCAUUGUACAGUUUGUUAAGAAAAUAUAUUUCAAACUGAAGGAACAUAUAAUGGAGUUUAAAUUUUGAAGUUUUGUACGAUUCAUAUUUGAAGUUCUUUACUUUAAAGUCCUUGAAAUUAUCUGUUUUUCAAAUAACAUAGUUAACUUUUAUUGUUAUCACUUUAGUCUUUAUAAUUUUAUUCUUAUACAAUUAAGAACAUCUUGCGGUUAACUAUAGUAUGUGGACUGCAUCAUUAUUGAAGGAAAAAAUAGAGCUUUGAAACAAACAAUGGAGCUCCACUAUAUUUUGCGAGUUAUAAUAAUAUUUCUUGAAAAAAAAGUUCACUUAGUGUACUGGAAGACAAUCAUUUAAUUCCAAAUUCAAUAAUAAUUCUAAAUAAUCAAAACCCAAAUAACCCAUAGUUGGAGUGCUCAGUGUUUGCUAGUUUUCUUUGAACUUGGGGCCUUUUUCAUCAUCAAUAGGAGUCUCGGUGGAGGUUAUGACUGAAUCAGUAUGCGUAGGCUAUGGGUCUGUGCUGGCUGGACGUCCUUCAAUAACUGGAACAGCAUCAGAUGCCCGUUUGUGUGAACCGAACACUGCGUUUCACCACUGUAUUUGGGACCACAGAAAAUUUUACAGCAGCCACAUCAUCAGAAACUCCACAGUUAAUAUUCAAAUGUGAAGCUUAGUAAAUGAGCUAAAGCAGAAAGCUAAGUAAUAACAAAUCUCUUAUUUAGUUAUUUUCAAAUAAAAGACGUUUUGAUAAGGUAAUUGUGCGCAGCAUGAAAAGGAGAGACAACGCAAACAACACAUGUAUCUGGUCAUGCUAUUACAGUGAUCCUUAUGCAGUGAACGUACCUAGGGAUGAGUUGAGAACGUAGCUAUUAAUUUCAGAUAAUGUGACGGAUUCAAUUUUCUUAACAUCACCAUACUUGGAAGAUGUGGCAGAGGAACCACUCUUUGCUCUACGGAGCCUGCAGUUGGUGUCUUUAAUGUGGGAAGUGUGUCACCGAUAUGACAUUGAGGAAUACAUGACCUGCACAGACAGAUUAAGAGAGCAUGAAAACUGAUGUGUUCCUGUUCUUGUAAAUGACAUUCUCUCUCACUUCAUUCAUUCUCUGUCUAAAAUGGAAAGAGCCAUGGUCCCGACAUGCAAAACAGACCUAGUUUACCAGCCAUUGUGAACAUUUUUGAGCAGGAAAACCUUAGCAUCUCAGUCAGCUAAAGCCAAAUCUGCCCAAAACCAGAGCAAUACGAAACAGCAAUGGGUUUCAGACUUGAUAAGAGUGAUCAAGAGUCUUUUUACCUUCAUUGUUGUUGCCCACCAUGAGAUAUGCUUAUGAAGCUCUGAACUCAAGCUUUCCAUCUCAAAUUAUCAAUCUACAGAGGAAGCUCCACCCAUACGUAAUUAAAUAGGGCAAAUCUCCAAAAUAGCAACUUUCUAAGUUUAUAUCACAAAAAUAGCAAUCAAAAACAUUACCUUUUUAUAGAGUGGAGAAUCACCGACUGCAAGAGGAAUAAGAGUCAUUGAAUGAGGGAUCGUGGCUGUUGUGGGUCGAAAGAGUUAAGAAAUCCCUAAUGGUGAUGAAUCAAUCAAACUUGUAACGGUUAGGAGGUGACGAAUCGAUAGCGAAACGACAUGAACAGUCACGGAAGUUUCGACUCACACGACCUUUCAGAACCUCCGUUGAUGGUAGACGAAAUCAGAUUAUGGGGGAGACGAUUAACCCUAUACUCGAGAAGGAGAUGAACGCAAACAACAGGUCAAGUAUUUUAUCGAAAAAAGAAAUAAUGGGCCAAGUUUUUGUUUGUCUCUUAGGCCAACACAUAUUAUUCAAAACCUAGAAAUAAUCAAACCGUAUAAGCCCAAAAGAAAAUCAAAGCUCAGCAAAGCUUUUUCAUUUACGAUGACACGUGUCGCACCGUCAAGAGUCAAGUUUCUGACGUGGCAUCCUACGUGGCUUAACCAGGAGGAAGUAAACUCUUCUUUAUAUAUAAAGAUACAUCCAUAACGUAGCUAACUUUUCUGAGUUUCUCACAUCUACUCACAGCUACAAUAUCAAAAAAAAAAAACCUAAAAUGUCUUCAAUAAUGCAAAUUACCUCUUUGACAGAGUUGAGAUAAGCCAAGACAGGUCCAAAAACCUUCUUCCAUGGCUCUCCAUAACUAAUUUUUGGUAUUAGCAUGAUCUUCCUUUUGUAUUUGGUAAAUGUUCACUUCCAACGUAUUUGUCUUUAUCCAAAUUUAU
This 4852-nucleotide long non-coding RNA is filed under the name Brassica napus (rape). RNAcentral describes it as "long non-coding RNA (BNAP_LNC024223)". The record is from RNAcentral. Lineage: Eukaryota; Viridiplantae; Streptophyta; Magnoliopsida; Brassicales; Brassicaceae.